Molecule: transfer RNA, 71 nt
Filed under: Loxodonta africana (African savanna elephant)
Lineage: Eukaryota; Metazoa; Chordata; Mammalia; Proboscidea; Elephantidae
Rfam family: tRNA
About the family: Transfer RNA (tRNA) molecules are approximately 80 nucleotides in length.
Source: Rfam by way of RNAcentral
GCAGUGGUAGUUCAAUGGUAGAAUUUUCACCUUCCAUGCAGGAGACCCAGGUUUGAUUCCCAGCCAAUGUA